UUGAAUCUAUUUUUAAUCCUUAGCAUUCUUCUGGCUUCCAGAUUUCAAGAAGGUUGAAAGAUGCCUUGUUGCCUUAUUCUCCAGGGCUUGUAUCUUCUUACUCAGAAUGCCAAGGAGGGGGACUCAUAAUGUCUUCAAUUUAGAGCUGUAUCUUUGCUUAAAAUUCACAUGAAGUUCUUUGCUAAAGUUCUGGCAACAAAGUUGGAGAAACUUAAUGUCUAAGUUGUUUUAGCUGAUCGAACAACAUUUGGAAUUCUCUCUGAAUCCUAAAACUUUGGAAAGUUGUUAGUUUGUGUUAUCCAGAAUCAGUCAAGCUCCUUUCACUUUCCUGGAAUCUCUGUGGGCUGAAUUACUUGAAUAUUUUUACUCUUGCAGACAUCUGCAUUCUGCCACGGAGAUAAAUGUGAGAAAAUUCUAUUUGUAUUUUACUGCUUCAGAAGAGUUUGCUGUAAGACACUCUACAACAGACAAAGUCAACUACCAGAGGUGGGGAUUUCAGACAACAUCUUUUAAUGUAGCUGUGAAUAGAAAGAAAAGAGGAGAAAUUCUGAACCCAUCUCUAGGUGAUCUCAAAGAAAAAUACCAAAGGGGAAUUCAGGGACCAAAGGUUUACUUUAUCAGAGCACUGAGGCUGUAAUAGGAAGAUAGGAGUAAUCACCUCCAAGAUUUCUGUCACCUCAAUCAACCUUCAAGGGAAAAUCAUCACAAGAGAGCGUCUGAGGCUCACGAAGAUGUGAGUGAUAACAUGAGGCAGUCAUAAGGCAAGAGUCAUGUGUCUCCAGACAUCUUCCAAAUGGACUGAGAGUUGUUGUUGCUUCUUCUGAUCUCCUGAGCCACUUCCAAUCCAGAUGGGAAACAGAAGAACAUGGAGAUUUUGCAAUUUGAGCUGAGCCAGGCAGGAGCUCUUUGGCAGAAGAAGAGGCCUCCCGAGGGAUAAAUACAAUCCAGAAGAUGACUGCAGAGGGAAAUGUGACCUGCAGCAUGCACAAUCUCCACUGUGAAACAAACUGCUGCUGGACCUGUACGCCUCUUUAGUUCCCACGCCACAUAACAACUGCACUGGGCUAGGAUGCUCCGUGGAAGACAGCAUCUUGUAAAAGCAGUCGGGGUCUACCAGAAAACACCACAAUAAACACCACAAAACACAAGAAGGAGUCCGCCAGCUGCAGAAAGCCAACAGCAGGAUCAAAAGAGAAAUGUCCCAGGUACA
Tympanuchus pallidicinctus (lesser prairie-chicken) is the source of this 1210-nucleotide long non-coding RNA. RefSeq lists it as uncharacterized. The record is from RefSeq and is a predicted model, not a curated record. Lineage: Eukaryota; Metazoa; Chordata; Aves; Galliformes; Phasianidae. The transcript has 8 exons.